AAGACCUUGCACUUUUGGAGCGGCCGAUGUCUGAUUAGCUAGUUGGUGGGGUAAUGGCCUACCAAAGCGUCGAUCAGUAGCUGGUCUGAGAGGACGGCCAGCCACACUGGGACUGAGACACGGCCCAGGCUCCUACGGGAGGCAGCAGUGGGGAAUUUUGGACAAUGGGCGCAAGCCUGAUCCAGCCAUGCCGCGUGAGUGAAUAAGGCCUUCGGGUUGUAAAGCUCUUUCAGCCGGGAAGAAAAGGUUGCGAUUAAUAAUCGCAAUUUAUGACGGUACCGGAAGAAGAAGCACCGGCUAACUACGUGCCAGCAGCCGCGGUAAUACGUAGGGUGCGAGCGUUAAUCGGAAUUACUGGGCGUAAAGGGUGCGCAGGCGGUCUUGUAAGUCAGAUGUGAAAUCCCCGGGCUUAACCUGGGAACU
Molecule: ribosomal RNA, 423 nt
Filed under: uncultured bacterium
Lineage: Bacteria
Description: bacterial SSU rRNA
Rfam family: Bacterial small subunit ribosomal RNA
Source: RNAcentral